UAAUAAACUAAUGGUUCAUUAUUAGUCUACCCCCCUUCCCUCUAACAACCUUAGCUUAGUUCUUUUUAAACUUAUUCCUAUUAUGGUUAUGUCCUUGAUUGAUGUUCAAACACUAACUUAAUAAUAGCUAGCUUACUAAUGCUAGGUUCAUUCAAUAUUCCUUAAUUUAAACUUAAAUUGUCAACAACAAGCUAGCUGCUUUCUUUAGUCAAACUCAGUCCAAGAGUUAUGAUCAAACAAGGAUUUUAAGCAUUAUAGUCUCCCAACAAGGCAUACAUAAUCUACAGGUCUUAUUUUAGCUUGACUUGUCUUUAAUAGGGGUGUACAAACUAAACUGAGCUCUGAACAGAACAUCAUACUCUUAUUUUUUAUUUUUUUUAAAAAGCUGUAUUCUUAACCAACU
Molecule: long non-coding RNA, 403 nt
Organism: Lycium ferocissimum
Lineage: Eukaryota; Viridiplantae; Streptophyta; Magnoliopsida; Solanales; Solanaceae
Exons: 3
Source: RefSeq, a predicted model, not a curated record